Long non-coding RNA from Cavia porcellus (domestic guinea pig), 488 nucleotides. RefSeq lists it as uncharacterized. NCBI's taxonomy places the organism in Eukaryota, Metazoa, Chordata, Mammalia, Rodentia, Caviidae. The record is from RefSeq and is a predicted model, not a curated record. The transcript is spliced from 3 exons.
CUGAUUGUCAUGUUUUUCUUUAAGUAUUGACAAUUGUGGGCUUGCAGGAUAUGAGGCAGAGAUGACGAAAACACACCAUCCAACACUAAUUUUAUUUCCAGAAGAUCAGAAUCACCUGGAUUUUGAAGAUGCCCUGGAGCCAGUGGUCACCAGAGGAACUGUGAUGACCAUGGGUUUCAGCACUCUUCUGCAGAUGGAGAUUUGAUGCCUGCAAGGUGAAACUCAGGGAUGUGGAAUUGCCCUCUGCACAUGGGGACUUGAUUCACUGGCAGGUUUUUAUCGGCAGGUAAUUUUAUCUACAAAGAACCACUUUUCUCAGAGUUUGAGGUUUGCCACUGAAAGUUUCACAUGUUUGAAUGCGGAGCCAUUUUCAAAAUGGAGGUCCAUCAUCUUUUACUUAAGACAGAAUAUCAGAGACGUGCUGUCUCAGGAUGGCCCUGCGAGGCAUCCAGGACAAAGCCACCAGAGAAACCAUUUGGGGUGGUGCA